UGGGGAAUAUUGCACAAUGGGCGCGAGCCUGAUGCAGCAACGCCGCGUGAGGGACGACGGCCUUCGGGUUGUAAACCUCUUUUAGCAGGGAAGAAGCGAAAGUGACGGUACCUGCAGAAAAAGCACCGGCUAACUACGUGCCAGCAGCCGCGGUAAUACGUAGGGUGCAAGCGUUAUCCGGAAUUAUUGGGCGUAAAGAGCUCGUAGGCGGUUUGUCGCGUCUGCUGUGAAAUCCCGAGGCUCAACCUCGGGCCUGCAGUGGGUACGGGCAGACUAGAGUGCGGUAGGGGAGAUUGGAAUUCCUGGUGUAGCGGUGGAAUGCGCAGAUAUCAGGAGGAACACCGAUGGCGAAGGCAGAUCUCCGGGCCGUAACUGACGCUGAGGAGCGAAAGGGUGGGGAGCAAACA
Molecule: ribosomal RNA, 407 nt
Filed under: uncultured bacterium
Lineage: Bacteria
Description: bacterial SSU rRNA
Rfam family: Bacterial small subunit ribosomal RNA
Source: RNAcentral